GGGGGAAUGAAACUGUACAGUAGAGGCAGAUGGAGUUAGUGGGAGCUUCAGCUGAUUAGCUACACGAGUCCAUGUGACCAGAUGGGAGGAAUUCAAGGAUGUCAGAGGACCUGGCCGAUGUCACUGCAAAGCCAUUCUCUGUCACUGGUCACAGUGGAAGUUCCUAAUGACAGAAAAAAAGGCAAAUGUCACAGCUAUAUCCUCAGGAAGGGCAAGAAGGAAGACUGGGAAACUAGAGGCUGAUCAACAACACCAUUGGUCCAUGAGAAGAUGUGUGUGCAGCCAUACCCAUGCAUUUUGGAGACAUAACCAUGUUGAGACCUAUGUUUUCCUCCUUCUGUGAUUCUGAAGAUCUUCUACAGCAUCACUUCAAGGUUUUACACCUGAAACGGGUUCAUUUUCACUUGUCUGAUGCACAUUUCCAGCCAGCAGCCGGGAGACCGAAGAGGAUUCAAUCCGCAAUUGUUCUGAAAGCACACAAACUGAAUAAAUGUUUAUAACCCUAAAUGGUGUCACCGCAGCAGAUGAAUGGCAGCAGAACAAUGGGCACCGAUGCACUCUUCAGGCCGCAGCCAAGUUCCCUAGCAACUACAGAGGAGCUGUGCAGCCUGCAGAGGUACUGUGAGUGCCAGCAGGCCGUUAUCUGAGAAAUGACUGAGAAAUGAUCUUAGUGCCGUAUUUCAUUGAGGAGAUACCAUUAAUCAAUUGCCUGUUUGUAAUUCACGGAUACCACUUUUUCCCUUUGGGUAAACUAUUAGGUAAGAAUUCCUCUGGCUAGCGAUUUCAUUGUUAUUUAGUUUCAUGUAUGUGUUAGCAUUAAUUACAUAGGUUUAAAGUUGUUUGAGUUCCAAGGAAAUAGCACCAGGUAGCUGCUAUGCUGUAAGAAAAGCACACCGAGCUGAAGUUUGACACUAAGCUAAACUGAUGUAAUGGCUGCUAAAAGCUUGAGUGCCAAUUGCUUCCUUGGUUUAGAACUGUGUUUUGAAACACGUAGAUAGGUACAAGGCAAAAGGGAAAAAGAAAAGCAAUGGCUUUAUCGAAGAGAUAUUGUUAUUUAUUAAAUCAGUUAAUCAUACGUUGCCAGCCUAAUUAAUAAUUGCUGGUGCAAGGAAUGCCACAGAUUAGGCUACACUGAUACCAUGUGCUCCAAACAGAUGAUAGAAAGUUGUACUCUGACCUUCCCAUGUGUCUGACCGCAACAGAGAACAGGUCACCCCAUCUUCUAUAACACUGCGCUCUCUGCUGCUCUGUUACUCAUUGUGUCAGGGGAGGGGCAGCUGGGGGUUAGGGACAGGGUCUGCACCAGAGGGGGGUGGGCAUGGAACGGGCUGCCCAGGGCUGUGGGCACUGCCCCCAUUGCUGGAGUUCAGAGAGCAUCUGGACAGUGCUCUCAGAUGUAGGGUCUGAUUUUGGGUGGUGCUGUGUGGAGAAUGGAGUUGGACUCGAUGAUCCUUGUGGGUCCUGUCCAGCUUGGGAUAUUCUGUGCUUCUAUAAUUCCACGAUUCUAUGAACCUAGGGGAUUGUGAAUUGUUCUUUACACACAUCUGGAAGUAGAUCGCCAACAUGUAGCUUUACUUCUACCCUGACAAACACUGCUUUCAGUCCGAUUUGACUGUCCGAUUUGACUUUUCCGUUGACCCCCUGCCUCCCUUCUCCAGUGUUUCAGCACAGCUGGAAGAAUUCAACUCUUCAACUUCAGAAGGUUUGCUUGGAAGCAGGGAAGCAGUGGGCAAUGCCACAUCACACCAGUCACUUGCCACAGAAACCUCCUAACUGCUGUCUUCUGUAUCUGCACAAGCUGUCAUGCUUAUUGUUGCACCAGGAGAGAUCUUGCACAGCAGCAGUGGAGCUGGGGGAAGGCUGUAUCUCCCCAGGCUAAUCUGGUUAACCAUGAAAGCUGUCAGGACUUGUUCACCCGCAGCAAAAGACUCAUCCUGGUCACUAUAAAAGAACAAAACUGCCAUGCAGCAAGAGCUCCCCACUCAAGCUUGUGGCUCACCCUAAAAUGCAGCUGAAAGCACUCUCUCGUGCAGAGCCCAACCCCUAAAUCUCCAUCACAUGGGAAAGUUCCCCACAGCUGUGACUGUUACAGGCUUCCCUGUUGCUUCACGUGUCCUUUCCAACACUUGCUGAACCAUCAUAAGCUGUUGUUUCAGAUCACACGCACACAUGGCUUUACAAAAGGCAAAGCAUCUCUUUAAACAAUAAGCUUUUCAUAGAACCAUAGAAACAUAGAAUGGCUUGCGUUAGAAGAGACUUCAAAGGUCAUCUGAUUCCAACCCACCAGCUCAGGCUGCCCAGGGCCCAUUCCAACCUGGCCUUGAGCACCUCCAGGGAUGGGGCACCACAGCUUCUCUGGGCAGCUGUGCCAGCGCUUCACUGCCCUCUGAGUAAAAAGUUUCCCCCUAAUAUCCCACCUAAAUCUCCCCUCUUUUAGUUUAAAGCCAUUCCUGCUUGUCCUAUCACUAUAAGACCAUGUAAAAAAUUGGUCUCCCUUCUGCUAAUAAACUUCUUCUAAGCACGGCAAGGCCACUAUCAGGUCUCUCUGGAGCUUUCUCUUCUCCAGGCAGCUCAAGCCCAGUUCCCUCAGCCUGUCUUCACAGGAGAGGUGCUCCAACCCUCUGAUCAUCUUCCUGCUGUUGUCUGGACCCACUCCAACAUCUCCACAUCCCUUCUACGCUGGGGACCCCAGGCCUGGACGCAGUACUCCAAGUGGAGCCUCACGAGGGCAGAGCAAAGAGGGACAUUCACUUCCCUCCCCCCCGCUGGCCACCCCUUCUUUUGCCGCAGCCCAGUGUACAAUGAGGUAACCCUUCCCUGCGAGCUCCCUCGGCUACGCCCGACACCUGGGCCAAGGGAGGCGCCCUUCCCGAGGGGCCACCUGCGCCCAUCCGGGGCCGGCGCGAUGCGGCCGGAAGGGGGCGCCGCCGUCCCGCCUGUAGAACCGGAGCAGAACAUGGCGAGUAGCCCGGCGCUUCGCCAGGGCCCCGGGCAGGGGGAGGGCGACCGUGGCUCUCUUUCGCGGCUGCCCUCCGCAGCAGAAGCCAACAGAACCGUGUGGGUGUGGCACUGAGGGACGUGGUCAGUGGGCAUGGCGGGGAUGGGAUGACACUUGGGCUAGGUGACCUUAGAUGUCUCUUCCAACCUUAAUGAAUCUGUGAUUCUAUAUUUGAGAAGUUAAAAACAGUUGAAACAAGGAUUGUGGGAUUGUGGAUGUUACCUGCUUUCACCGUUCCUUUGUCGUUAAAUGUCUGGCAUUCACAUAUUAGUAUGUGGCUGGCUAACGAGGAAGUGAAAUAUUAAUUUCUCCUCAGUCAGGAAGCUCCUGGAUGGAAGUUCACCUCAGUCAAGUCUCACUUUGAGAGCUUAAUUCUGAUCUGUCCAGCUUUGUGAUUACUUGCUCUCAUACUAUGCAUUGGAGUCACACACUGCUUUGCUAUAGGACUGAAAGAGUUCAAAUUUUAAGGUAGUUUUCAAAUCAAAUUCAUGGUUUGGGUUGAAAGGGAGCUCACAGCCCACCCACCCCAACCUGUGCCGUGGGCAGGGCUGCCCCCCACCAGCUCAGGCUGCCCAGGGCCCCAUCCAACCUGGCCUUGAGAGCCUCCAGGGAUGGGGCACCACAGCUUCUCUGGGCAGCUGUGCCAGCGCCUCACCGCCCUCUCAGCAAAAAGUUUCCACCAACAUCUAAUCUAAAUGUGGCACUUCAGUGGAUUGUGUUAAAUAAAUACUUAAAUAAAUAAAAUUCCAAACUCGUUAAUGGCCACUCUUCUAUGUCUAGACCAGUCUGUGGCCUUACUCUCUCCACCUAGUCCUGUUCGUCCACUUUCUAACCUGGGAUAUUGCUUCCUGAAUUCUCAGCUGUAAUCUGCAGGCCCUCUCUGGACAGCAUGUCUCUGCAGUGGUUGUUUAUAUGGUGUCCUCUGUAGUGGUGUUCUUUCCUAAAGGUUCAUGGUGUAGUAAUAAAUUCUUUGAAAGACGCCGUCAGAGGAGGUCAUGGGAGCAAAGACACACGCAAGGAAUUGAUGGCACUUCAGCAUUUUGCUAGUAAAGACACAAGCUGUCCUGUAGGAACAGGAAAGCUAUUGUUGGACUGAAUCCGCCUGUCUUCCUCUGGUGCCAGCACUCCACAAAGCGUGCAUUUUGUGACUGUAAUGCUAUUCAGCCUCGCAAAAGGUACAGCCUGGGACCAAUCGGAGAACAUGAUUAAAUGCUCAGCUUCCAUCCCUCAUAUAAAGGUCGUGUAUUUGUAUUCCAGCUAAGUCAGCCGUCAGCGUUUGUAAAGUGUCUGAUGUUCUCUUAUUGCUGUGCAAACAAUGGCAAAACCAAAACAGAAUUAAAUUUCAAUUAAUCUGAGACAUUCAUAACAGGCAUUAGAACAAUAAGCAUGUUUUGUUAUUAACCUUCCUCCUUCAUAUGAGAUUUUGACCUCUUUAUACUAAUCUGAUUUUAUUUGUCAAAUUAACUGUAGAAUUCAAUAUUAGUAGUCCCAGACAAUGACUCAAGCUUCAUCACCUCCUAUUCCCUCUUUGUGGGAAAAAGAAGGUAAUUAUUACUUUUAAAAAUAAUAACAACCUUGGAGUGAAGUUUCAUUUCUUAUUUCUUAAUGACGAGACCCUUUUUUUCUCUUGCUGUUUUUUAACCUUUAGAAUGGAUUUUCCUUUUCAAACUCUGUUUUUUUUUUUUUUUCUGAGCAUUUUUGAGGUCUGGAAACAUUUCUUUUUUCGUAAUGGAACCUGAGAUUCCUGACUAAUGACUUGCCUUUGGGAGCUGAGAUUUUAAUUAAAAAAGAAAAAAAAAAAAAAACCACCCAAAGUGGGGCAGUUGUGAUAAAAUCAUAAGAAUUGGCAAUAUAUUUAUGUGUCUACGCCAGGUAGGGAAGCAUUGUGAAGGAGAAGAAAACUGCCUGACUGUAAGCAGACCUUCUUGAUGAUGAAACCCUGCAGGGCUAUGGCCAGCUAUGGCACCUGUAAGACAUAGAGGGGUGGUUACAGAGCAAGUGCAGGAGAGUGAUAUCUUCAGCCACGAGGACUGCUUUGUAUCAUGUUCUUCACUGAGAUAAACAUCUCCUCCUAGCAGCUCCUUAUCUGCUGAUAAUCUUGCCAUAUCCCAGUCCACAUCUGAAGUGCAUGCACGUUUUGGGGCAAGGGUAGUGCUGGCUGGGACUCUGCCCAGUUCCAAGUAGGUACAAGAGGCUCGGGGCCAACUGUUUAUUGGGCUGUACUAUUUAUACAGUAAUUCUCGACUUGCUUGGAACAAGGGACAGAUCAAGGCUUAAUCCCCUUUCCCGGACAACCCUAUUACCUAACACCAAGAGUGGUAGAAAAGUCCUAAUCUUCAGAGGGAGAGGGACAGUAAAAGUUCCUCUAUCAGAGAUUGUUAAGAUAGCCCAGAACAAAGCCUUAGAGAGCUAUUGGCUACAGUGCGCCUGAAAAGGAGAUAACCCAGCAGAUGUCUGGGUUUGCAUUGCGGUGUAAUUACAGGUGAGCUUUAAAGUCACUGGGAAUCAGCUGACUGUUCUGGGAAGAACAGCAGCGGUAUGUUGCUGCUGUGCCUGUUUCAGCACAAAAGCACACAUCUCAUGAACAGGCACG
Gallus gallus (chicken) is the source of this 5591-nucleotide long non-coding RNA. NCBI's taxonomy places the organism in Eukaryota, Metazoa, Chordata, Aves, Galliformes, Phasianidae. The record is from Ensembl.